GAUGCCAUCUCUCAUGUUGCCGAUUCAACCCUGGACGAUGUUGUGCGGCCCGCGGCCAUGGACGAUGUGUUGUUGGACAACGACGCGAGGCCGAGGCAGCCAAUGUGAAUGACCACUGGAAAUCAUUUACCUUUCAAUCUUGGAAGGCCCUAAGCUGAAGGAGAGCAUCAAUUGUCAUGAGAGAUAAGCAAUAUCUAUUAGACACGCAUACUAUCAGGCUAACGCAAACCACUCGGGAAUGAAGUAUACUUACCGUAACUUUCUAUGUGUUGACUUGAGUUUUCCUGUUAGUAAAAGAAACAUGCCAUUUUUUUGCGGUUCAUGGAUUCAUGCUCAAUGUUGAAUUAUUAUCUGAUCUGCAAAAGCAUGCCUUACU
RNAcentral lists this ribosomal RNA (376 nucleotides) under Triticum aestivum (bread wheat). RNAcentral describes it as "partial small subunit ribosomal RNA". The record is from RNAcentral. Lineage: Eukaryota; Viridiplantae; Streptophyta; Magnoliopsida; Poales; Poaceae.